CAAAAACAUAGCUAGAUGUAGUUAUAUUUAGUGCUUCCUGCUCAAUGAUAUAUUUAAUAGCCGCAGUACCUUGACUGUGCAAAGGUAGCAUAAUCAAUUGGCUUAUAAUUGAAGUCUAGAAUGAAAGGAUAUACGGGUAAUUACUGUAUCUGAUAUUUAUCGCUAAAUUAGUUUUCAAGUGCAAAUACUUGUAAAUAACUGUUAGACGAGAAGACCCUAGAAAUUUGUAUUAAUGUUUCGUUGGGGCAACGUAGUAGGAAAACCUACAGUAAAAGACAAGAAAAAAAUUUGAGAGAAAAAAUUACUCUAGGGAUAACAGCAUAAUUUAUAAAAGUUUGUGACCUCGAUGUUGGAUUUGGGAAUUAUAGUUCARAARACUUUUAAUACCGCUCUGUUCGAGCAUAAUAC
This 408-nucleotide ribosomal RNA is filed under the name Rhagada convicta. RNAcentral describes it as "partial 16S ribosomal RNA". It matches the Rfam family "Bacterial large subunit ribosomal RNA", at positions 1808 to 2593 of the family's 2925-position model. The record is from RNAcentral. Lineage: Eukaryota; Metazoa; Mollusca; Gastropoda; Stylommatophora; Camaenidae.